CAUUACAAAUGCGAUGCUCUACCCUCUGSGCUAAGUGGGC
This 40-nucleotide transfer RNA is filed under the name Eleusine kigeziensis. RNAcentral's name for it is "partial tRNA-Thr". Lineage: Eukaryota; Viridiplantae; Streptophyta; Magnoliopsida; Poales; Poaceae. The record is from RNAcentral.